This 1100-nucleotide ribosomal RNA is filed under the name groundwater metagenome. RNAcentral describes it as "bacterial SSU rRNA". It matches the Rfam family "Bacterial small subunit ribosomal RNA", at positions 8 to 1106 of the family's 1533-position model. The record is from RNAcentral.
AGAGUUUGAUCCUAGCUCAGGAUGAACGCUAGCGGCGUGCCUGAGAUAUGCAAGUCGAACGUCUUUCUGUCGCAAGACAGAAGGUAGUGGCGGACGGCUGAGUAACACGUAGGAAUCUGCCCCUAAGUAGAGGAUAGCUCACCGAAAGGUGGGGUAAUACUUUAUGGUCUCAAGCUUUGCUUGAGUAAAGAGCAUAACUGCUCGCUAAGGGAUGAACCUGCGGCCUAUCAGAUAGUUGGUGAGGUAAUGGCUCACCAAGUCUACGACGGGUAGCUGGCCUGAGAGGGUGGUCAGCCAGAAGGGCACUGAGACACGGGCCCUACUCCUACGGGAGGCAGCAAUCAGGAAUAGUCGGCAAUGGGCGAAAGCCUGACCGCGCGACGCCGUGUGCGGGAUGAAGCUCUAAUCGAGUGUAAACCGCUGUGGUAGAGGAAGAAGUUCCGGCUUGCCGGAAUUGACGGUACUCUACUAGAAAGGGGCCGCUAACUGCGUGCCAGAAGCGUCGGUAAGACGUGGGCCCCAAGCGUUAUCCGGUGUCACUGGGCGUAAAAGGUCGUGUAGGCGGUUUUGCAAGUUGUCUUUUAAAACUUCCCGCUCAACGGGAAAGCAGGAGAUAAGACUGCAAAACUAGAAUUUCCUUUAGGGAGACUGGAACUGAAAGAGGAGCAGUGAAAUGCGUUGAUACUUUCAGGAACACCGGUGGCGAAGGCGAGUCUCUGGAAGGAGAUUGACGCUGAGACACGAAAGCUAGGGGAGCGAAGCAGAUUAGAGACCUGCGUAGUCCUAGCCCUAAACAAUGCUUGCUAGCUGCAUUUUUCGAUUUAUCGAAGGGUGUGGCGUAGGUAACCCGUUAAGCAAGCCGCCUGGGGAGUACGGCCGCAAGGCUGAAACUCAAAGGAAUUGGCGGGGAGGCACACAACCAGUGGAACAUGUGGUUCAAUUCGAAACGAACCGAAGAACCUCACCAAGGUUUGACAUCCAAGCGUUCUAUUUCCUGGAAACAGGAGAAAUCCGCAAGGAGGCUUGGACAGGAGCUGCAUGGCUGUCGUCAGCUCGUUCCGUGAGGAGUACCCUUAAGUGGGACAACGAGCGCAACCCCC